This is a long non-coding RNA of Etheostoma spectabile (orangethroat darter), 664 nucleotides long. RefSeq lists it as uncharacterized. The transcript is spliced from 3 exons. The record is from RefSeq and is a predicted model, not a curated record. NCBI's taxonomy places the organism in Eukaryota, Metazoa, Chordata, Actinopteri, Perciformes, Percidae.
AUCCCUGUUGAGGACAUACGAAUGGAAAGGCAUUGGACAUGGCUGAGAUUAAUGAACCAAAAAGCAUGCCACACACUCAGCAGUCAUCUAGUAGGCAGAACUGAUCAGAACAGGCACCGCGAUUCAACACACAGUGAGAGUUGACAGCUUGAGUCAGGUUGGCGUGUGGGAGACCCGACUGUGAAAUAAGUUCAACAGCAAGAUUAACAGAGAUAUACCGGCAGGUGGGGAAGAAGACAUAAAUACUGAGAGGAAGACAAACAGGGUGAACCUUCCUUCCUUGUCUUCCUGCAAGGCAGGGACACCAGCUAUCUGAGAGGUUUAAUUUUAACUGAGGUAAAAGUUGUUUUGUAAAGUACACUGAUAAUACCCAAAUAUAUUUGUAUUUACAGUGAUAUGAAAGAAGAAAAAAAAUGUAAACUCACAGUUGAGGAAUUAGAACCUGGUUUUGUUGUUGGCCUCAUGACUUGCUAAAUGAUUAAUCAGUAAGCUAAACUGUACAUUUUUUAAUUGAUGCUCAACAAUGCUUAAAUGACUAUAUUACUGUGAAGCUGUUGCUAAUAGGAAUGUCACGAGAACCGAUACUACAGACACCUUCCGGUUCUGAAAUGCCAAAACACCAACGAUGCCCAUUUUUUGAAGCACUGAAGGCACCAUCAGCGAC